UUCGGUAGCAAUACUGAUGAAGAGUGAGUGGCGAACGGGUGAGUACCACGUGAGCAACCUGCCCCGAAGACUGGGACAACACCGGGAAACCGGUGCUAAUACCGGAUAUCCCUACCGGAUCGCAUGGUCUGGUAAGGAAAUGGAUUCCGCUUCGGGAGGGGCUCGCGGCCUAUCAGCUAGUUGGUGAGGUAAUAGCUCACCAAGGCAUCGACGGGUAGCUGGUCUGAGAGGACGAUCAGCCACACUGGGACUGAGACACGGCCCAGACUCCUACGGGAGGCAGCAGUGGGGAAUCUUGCGCAAUGGGCGAAAGCCUGACGCAGCAACGCCGCGUGGAGGACGAAGGCUUUCUGAGUUGUAAACUCCUUUCAGCAGGGACGAUUGUGACGGUACCUGCAGAAGAAGCACCGGCCAACUACGUGCCAGCAGCCGCGGUGAUACGUAGGGUGCAAGCGUUGUCCGGAUUUAUUGGGCGUAAAGAGCUCGUAGGCGGUUUGAUUAGUCGGGUGUGAAACCUCCAGGCUUAACCUGGAGCCGCCACUCGAUACUGUCAUGACUAGAAUUCGGUAGGGGACCACGGAAUUCCUGGUGUAGCGGUGAAAUGCGCAGAUAUCAGGAGGAACACCAGCAGCGAAGGCGGUGGUCUGGGCCGACAUUGACGCUGAGGAGCGAAAGCGUGGGGAGCGAACAGGAUUAGAUACCCUGGUAGUCCACGCCGUAAACGUUGGGCACUAGGUGUGGGGACUAUUCAACGGUUUCCGUGCCGCAGCUAACGCAUUAAGUGCCCCGCCUGGGGAGUACGGCCGCAAGGCU
This 813-nucleotide ribosomal RNA is filed under the name uncultured Actinomycetes bacterium. RNAcentral describes it as "bacterial SSU rRNA". It matches the Rfam family "Bacterial small subunit ribosomal RNA", at positions 72 to 895 of the family's 1533-position model. The record is from RNAcentral. Lineage: Bacteria; Bacillati; Actinomycetota; Actinomycetes.